This 377-nucleotide unclassified non-coding RNA is filed under the name plant metagenome. Its description in RNAcentral is "partial contains 5.8S ribosomal RNA, internal transcribed spacer 2, and large subunit ribosomal RNA". The stretch from base 1 to 104 matches the Rfam family "5.8S ribosomal RNA", at positions 51 to 154 of the family's 154-position model. The record is from RNAcentral.
AAAUGCGAUAAGUAGUGUGAAUUGCAGAAUUCAGUGAAUCAUCGAAUCUUUGAACGCACCUUGCGCUCCUUGGUAUUCCUUGGAGCAUGCCUGUUUGAGUAUCAUGAAAUCUUCAAAGUAAAUCUUUUGUUAACUCAAUUGGUUUCUACUUUGGUAUUGGAGGUCUUUGCAGCUUCACACCUGCUCCUCUUUGUUCAUUAGCUGGAUCUCAGUGUUAUGCUUGGUUCCACUCGGCGUGAUAAGUUAUCUAUCGCUGAGGACACUGUAAAAGGUGGCCAAGGUAAAUGCAGAUGAACCGCUUCUAAUAGUCCAUUGACUUGGACAAUACUUUUAUGAUCUGAUCUCAAAUCAGGUAGGACUACCCGCUGAACUUAAGC